RNAcentral lists this ribosomal RNA (204 nucleotides) under Osteocephalus buckleyi (Buckley's slender-legged treefrog). RNAcentral describes it as "partial 16S ribosomal RNA". It matches the Rfam family "Archaeal large subunit ribosomal RNA", at positions 2638 to 2891 of the family's 2987-position model. Lineage: Eukaryota; Metazoa; Chordata; Amphibia; Anura; Hylidae. The record is from RNAcentral.
AGGUUCGUUUGNUCAACGAUUAAAACCCUACGUGAUCUGAGUUCAGACCGGAGUAAUCCAGGUCAGUUUCUAUCUAUAAAAGAGUUUUUUCUAGUACGAAAGGACCGAAAAAACAUGGCCCAUACUUAAUGCAAGCCAUAAUUAUUAACUUAUGACCAAAUCUUAAUAAGUACCCAAUCCACCACUAAACUCAAAAAAAGAGUA